RNAcentral lists this microRNA (23 nucleotides) under Drosophila erecta. RNAcentral describes it as "der-miR-2498a-3p". Lineage: Eukaryota; Metazoa; Arthropoda; Insecta; Diptera; Drosophilidae. The record is from miRBase by way of RNAcentral.
AAUCUGCACAACCGGCUUAAUGU